RNAcentral lists this ribosomal RNA (253 nucleotides) under uncultured bacterium. Its description in RNAcentral is "partial 16S ribosomal RNA". It matches the Rfam family "Bacterial small subunit ribosomal RNA", at positions 524 to 776 of the family's 1533-position model. The record is from RNAcentral.
UACGUAGGUGACAAGCGUUGUCCGGAUUUACUGGGCGUAAAGAGCGCGCAGGCGGUCGUUCAAGUCGAGUGUGAAAGCCCCCGGCUCAACUGGGGAGGGUCAUUCGAUACUGAUCGACUCGAAGGCAGGAGAGGGAAGUGGAAUUCCCGGUGUAGUGGUGAAAUGCGUAGAUAUCGGGAGGAACACCAGUGGCGAAGGCGGCUCUCUGGGACGGUACUGACGCUGAGACGCGAAAGCGUGGGGAGCGAACAGG